GGGUUGUGAGGUUAAGCGACUAAGCGUACACGGUGGAUGCCCUGGCAGUCAGAGGCGAUGAAGGACGUGCUAAUCUGCGAUAAGCGCCGGUAAGGUGAUAUGAACCGUUAUAACCGGCGAUUUCCGAAUGGGGAAACCCAGUGUGAUUCGUCACACUAUCAUUAACUGAAUCCAUAGGUUAAUGAGGCGAACCGGGGGAACUGAAACAUCUAAGUACCCCGAGGAAAAGAAAUCAACCGAGAUUCCCCCAGUAGCGGCGAGCGAACGGGGAGGAGCCCAGAGCCUGAAUCAGCAUAUGUGUUAGUGGAAGCGUCUGGAAAGGCGCGCGAUACAGGGUGACAGCCCCGUACACAAAAGCGCAUGUGCUGUGAGUUCGAUGAGUAGGGCGGGACACGUGGUAUCCUGUCUGAAUAUGGGGGGACCAUCCUCCAAGGCUAAAUACUCCUGACUGACCGAUAGUGAACCAGUACCGUGAGGGAAAGGCGAAAAGAACCCCGGCGAGGGGAGUGAAAAAGAACCUGAAACCGUGUACGUACAAGCAGUGGGAGCACCCUUUGGGGUGUGACUGCGUACCUUUUGUAUAAUGGGUCAGCGACUUAUAUUCUGUAGCAAGGUUAACCG
This 621-nucleotide ribosomal RNA is filed under the name Salmonella enterica. RNAcentral's name for it is "partial 23S ribosomal RNA". It matches the Rfam family "Bacterial large subunit ribosomal RNA", at positions 1 to 652 of the family's 2925-position model. Lineage: Bacteria; Pseudomonadati; Pseudomonadota; Gammaproteobacteria; Enterobacterales; Enterobacteriaceae. The record is from RNAcentral.